AGGACGAACGCUGGCGGCGUGCUUAACACAUGCAAGUCGAGCGGAAAGGCCCUUCGGGGUACUCGAGCGGCGAACGGGUGAGUAACACGUGAGCAAUCUGCCCCUAGCUUCGGGAUAGCUCCGGGAAACCGGAAUUAAUACCGAAUAUUACUACGGCCGACAUCGGCUGUGGUGGAAAGUUUUUCGGCUAGGGAUGAGCUCGCGGCCUAUCAGCUUGUUGGUGAGGUAACGGCUCACCAAGGCGACGACGGGUA
Molecule: ribosomal RNA, 254 nt
Filed under: uncultured bacterium
Lineage: Bacteria
Description: partial small subunit ribosomal RNA
Rfam family: Bacterial small subunit ribosomal RNA
Source: RNAcentral